Molecule: ribosomal RNA, 497 nt
Filed under: uncultured bacterium
Lineage: Bacteria
Description: partial 16S ribosomal RNA
Rfam family: Bacterial small subunit ribosomal RNA
Source: RNAcentral
GAUGAACGCUGGCGGCGUGCCUAAUACAUGCAAGUCGAGCGAACAGACGAGGAGCUUGCUCCUCUGACGUUAGCGGCGGACGGGUGAGUAACACGUGGAUAACCUACCUAUAAGACUGGGAUAACUUCGGGAAACCGGAGCUAAUACCGGAUAAUAUAUUGAACCGCAUGGUUCAUUAGUGAAAGACGGUUUUGCUGUCACUUAUAGAUGGAUAUGCGCCGGUUUAGCUAGUUGGUAAGGUAACGGCGUACCAAGGCGACGAUGCGUGGCCGACAGGAGAGGGUGAGCGGCCAGACUGGAAGGGAGACACGGUCCAGACGCCUACGGGAGGGAGCAGGAGGGAAACGGGCGCAAGGGGCGGAAACCUGAGGAAGCAGGGCGGAGUGAGGGAGGAAGAUCGCCGGGUCGGAAAUCACGGUUAUUGGGGAGGAACAAGUGUUUGAGUGACUAGGCGCGUGUGGAAGGGAACUGAGCAGAGAGGCACGGCUUACUUAGGU